RNAcentral lists this unclassified non-coding RNA (18 nucleotides) under Mus musculus (house mouse). RNAcentral's name for it is "oocyte_clustered_small_RNA2088". Lineage: Eukaryota; Metazoa; Chordata; Mammalia; Rodentia; Muridae. The record is from RNAcentral.
UGGGUGGCCUCUAAGACA